Drosophila biarmipes is the source of this 5861-nucleotide RNA transcript. It is a transcript of the gene named zinc finger protein 624, with no coding region annotated. The record is from RefSeq and is a predicted model, not a curated record. NCBI's taxonomy places the organism in Eukaryota, Metazoa, Arthropoda, Insecta, Diptera, Drosophilidae. The transcript is spliced from 2 exons.
GAUUUUUUUUUUUUUUUUUUUUUUUUUUCUGUUAAAUUAAUUGUUUUUUAUUUAUUCGUUUUUCUUUUCUCUUUCAUUUGUCUAUCUGUUUUCAUUUGAAAAUAAAACAUAAAGUUAUAUUAUUUAAAUGACAAUAAAAAUCCUACAGUAUAAUAUUCAGAGCUUAACUGCUAAUAAUAACAAACAAUUACUAGAAUUAUUCUUAGUAAACAAUAACAUAGACAUAGCAAUUUUAUCAGAGAUAUGGAUUUCCAAUAAUUCCAUGUGUAGCUUGGCAAAUUAUAAUUUUGUAUGUAAGCCGCGUAACGAUGGUUAUGGAGGCGUUGGAAUUUACUUAAAAAAACACAUACGCUUUAAACAAAUCAACUGUGAUAUUAGCUUAGAAGUCAUUGGUAUCCGUACAAUUAACCUAAGAAAUAAUAUUAAUAUUUUCAGUGUCUAUGCUGCUCCCAGCACAGACAUUAAUUCUUUUCAACAAGGCUGCGAUGAUCUAUUUACUAUUGCUGCUCAAUCGAGUGGUCUAACUGUCAUAGGUGGUGACUUCAAUGCCAAAUCCAGCAUUUGGGGUAAUAAUACUCAAGAUGUCAGAGGCGGUAUUUUAGAAAAUUCCCUCUUACACUCCGGUUUCUUUUGCCUUAACAACGGCUCUCCAACUUACUCCCAUAACCCAUCCUAUACUUCAACACUCGAUCUCACUUUCAUUAAUAGUAGCAAUCUUUGUUCUAACUGGUCCUCAAUAAAUUCUAAAAUAUCAAAUAGCAAUCAUUUCCCAAUCUUAAUUGAAAUAGACCAAAUUUCUGCUUCGACUAAUAUUAUUAAAUUUAACCAUAAUAAAAUAAUCAAAGACUUUUCCAAAAUUCAAAUUACAACGUUAGAUAGCAUUUCCAACUUAUCCCAAACAAUACACUGUAAUAAUUCAAUUAAAAUAAAUACAAACAAUAGAUAUGUUCCAAAAAAGUAUUGGGACGAGGUAUGUGAAAAAUUGUUUAGAUUAAGAAACGCGUGCAGACAAAAAUAUUUUAAAUCCAAACUACAAUCUGAUGCUAUUGCCUAUAUUAACAGUAAUAAAAAACUUAACAACUAUUAUUAUAAAAUGAGAAAAGAAAACCUCAAUAAGCUAGCAGAAGACAUUUCUAACCCCUCUUCUCUGAAAGAUAUGUGGAACAAAAUCAAAAAUCUUAAACUUUUUAAACAAAUUAAACCGUCAAACAGUGCAAUAUCUGACUCAGAACAUAGAGAUUUUCUCAAUCAAAUAGCCACAGCUCCCAACACUGCGAUGUGUCCUGACGUAUCUUUUUCUCCUGAUCUGCUUUAUAGAUAUACCAACUCUAAUUUCUCAGCGCGUGAACUUCUUGACUUCCUUAACUCUCGUAACCCAGACUCGGCUAAGGGUCUUGACAACAUUUCAUACAGAAUGCUUCUAUCUCUACCCUUAAGUCAAAUAGAAAAACUGGUAUCCCUGCUAAACAUUACUUUAGACAAUGGGUUUAUUCCAGAUCAGUGGCGGAAAAUAAGGGUUAUACCUGUUCCCAAAAAAAAUCUAGACUCUUCAAUUAUUACCAACAACAGACCUAUCUGCCUUCUAAGUGUGACUUUUAAGUGCUUAGAAGGUUUGAUUAAAUUGCGGAUGGAAGAGUACAUUAAUAAAAAUAAAAUUCUGCCACCAAGAUCCUAUGCGUUCAGAAAAAACCAUUCUACUGCCCAAUGCAUCAACGAUGUAAUAAAUAACAUAGCCAACCUAAAAGCUCGUGGUUUCCACGUUACCGCAGCGGUUUUAGACUUAAGUAAAGCCUUUGAUGCCGUCAAUAUCCCUAUUCUGGGUAGCAAAUUAGUUAGUUUGGGUUUCGACCACAAUCAUAUUUAUUUCAUUAUAAACUUCCUUAGUAAAAGAGUUCUCACUAUGGGUACUGCAGAGAUAACUGUAAACAAAGGAGUUAGUCAAGGUAGUUGUCUGAGUCCAAUCCUCUUUAAUUUAUAUACAGCUGAGCUUCACAGCUUAAGUAAUGACCAUGACAGUAUUCUGUUCCAGUACGCUGACGACUUCUUUCUAGUCUGUUAUGACAAAGUCUUUUCGAUGGCUGAAGAGAAAUUAGAACAAAAAGUAAAUAGGUUUAUGGAACUGUGCAAUAUUAAUAAUCUUACUUUUAAUCCAGACAAAUCAGCCACCAUUCAUUUUAAUCUAAGAAAAAAACCUUUAAGUAUCUUGUGCAAUAAUAUUAUUUUAAAAAAUGUAAAUAGUAUAAAUUAUUUAGGUAGAGUCAUAAGUUCAAACAACUCGUCUGUUCAGCAUGUAAAUAAAACGAUCUCUAAAUCGAAUCAAACGAAUAUGUUUAUUCAAAUGCUCAGUGGUUGCCGCUUCGGAGUACAUCCAAGCAAGUCACUACUCUUUUAUAAAGCAUUUAUUAGAACUAGAUAUGAAUACGCCUGCUCCUCUUUUUCAAACAUAUCAAAAUCAGUACAAAACAAUAUAAAUAAGCAUGCUAAUUUCCACCUUAGAAAGGCCUUAGGACUUAUUAAAUCGACUCCAAUUAAUAUUAUUUAUAAUCUUGCAGCUGAACUUCCUCCAGCUUAUAGGAUUAAAUUCGCUACAGCGAAGGAGUUGGCCAAAACGUUCGCUCAUGGACUACCAUCUGCGUCGCUUCUGUCAAACUCCUUUGUAGCCAAAAAUACUAGUUACAGUAGAAUUUAUGCUGAAUUUAAAAAUAUCCUGGAUAGUAUUGCUCCUAUUUGUCCUUACUCUCUGUCCACACGCAAGAUUUCAGUUGACACAAAUUUCUUUAAAGGUACUUGUACAAAUAAAAAAAUGGCAAACGAGACUAUAAUUCUCUCUUUAUUUAAAGAAAAAAUAAGAAGUUUAACCUCAAAAAAUAUGGAAAUCAUCUUCACGGAUGGUUCUGUGUCGGAAAAUUUUACAGGAGGUGCCUUUGUCCACUUAAAUUCCAAUUCGAUAAAAAGUUUCUACACCGACAAAAAACUAUCGUCGCUGACUGCUGAACUCACAGCCCUAGAAAAAGCCAUUGACUUCGGUAUUUCAAAAAAGUUCUCCAAAAUAGCAAUUUUAACUGACAGUCUUGGUGCCAUCCAGACAAUAAAGAACACGAACUCCAAAAACUGCAUCUCUCAAUGCAUUCUGAAAAAAGUCAUAAACAACCCAACCCUGCUAUCCAUAGAAUUUCACCACAUUCCAAGCCAUUCCAAUAUUUGGGAAAACGAUCUCGCAGAUACAGCGGCUAAAAAUGCUAAAAUUAACGGCUCUUUCGCACCCGUCAGAUGGACCCUUAAGGACGCAAUCAAUCAUAUGUUCGCGCAAAUAAAACAAGACUGGGAGCGUGAAUACAGUCUGUUCUCAUUAGAGCGUAACAAGGGUUACUCUCUCCUCUCACCAUAUACCACUUCCAAGCCUUGGUUUAAAAACAAAGAACACCUAUUCAACCGUAUAGAAACGAAGACUCUAAACAGAAUCUUAAGCGGACAUGCUUUUGACAAAUACACACUUUCCAAAAUGAAAGUCUACGAUAACGCCCUAUGCGAUUCGUGUAACGUUAAUGAAGACAUUUCGCAUAUUUUGUUAAAUUGCUCAAAAUAUACACCAACAAGACAAAAUUAUCCAACACUACUUAAAUAUAACGAUAUCUAUCGUUUACUUGGAAAUGAACCAAUUGAAAAUUGGACAUCGAUUACCAGUUUCAUUCGAGCUGCUAAUAUUAAUAUCUAAUACAACACACUCCACACUGCUCAUUUAACACACUAUAACACCAUCCACGCUUAUACCAACUCACAAAAUCUCAAAAUUAAAAUUUCUCACACAUAUUGAUAACAUUUUCAUCGCUUAUCGUUCAUCGUCAUCGCUCAUCGUUCAUUGUCAUCAUAACAUCACCAGAAACUACUGCACGAUAUUUACAUAGCUGUCCAUUAAAUUUUGUUUUUCUUGAAAUUUAAUUUCAUACAUUGGCAGUGGCGUUAACCCGUUCCAACGGGGCGGCCAAAUAAUUCUUCCCUCUUCACGGAAGGAAGUAACUUAAUAUUUAAAAAAAAAAAAAACAAACCAUAGAACCCAAAAACAUUUAUAUCGUGUCAUAAUAUUACUCAAAUAUAAAUACCAAUGGAGUCUUCAAUUUGCCGUGUUUGCCUGGAAAAUGGUGACAACUUGGUCAAUAUAUUUGAAGAGACCCAUCAAACGGAAGUUUCCGUUGCGGAUAUGAUUUCUGAGUGGGCGGGCUUCAAAAUUGAAAGAGGAGAUACAUUUCCCGAAACCAUCUGCCCUUCCUGCCUGCAGGAUGCUCAAAACGCAUAUGAGAUGAACUCAACUUACAGGAGAGGCCACAGACUCCACUGUCGCCUGAAGAAGGACCCAUUGGAGGAUUCACUCAAGGAAGAAGUGUACAAAGAGCCGGACAUCGAUUGUCACAUAACAAACAACAAUGACUCUCAUCCGCCUGUUCCUAAAAUUAAGGAAGAAGAUGAAGAGGAACUACUUGGAGGCCAGUUUCAAGAAAAAAAAGAAUCAAGCAAAGAAGAGGGAUUUGAGGAGGAAUACAAUCCCAAGUCCGAGUGCAAGAUCAAGAGUGUGGAAGAGGAUAAGCUGCAAGAUGUGGAGGACCGAUUCACAAGCCCAAUAAGGAAGCAACCAACCAAAAAAGACUUCCAGAGGGAAUACAAGGGAGAUGAUAAUCUGAAAGAUAUGGGGGAACAACUUAAAAAACGAGUCCAAAGCCAAAAAAGCCAGGAACCACUCGAAGAAGAGGUAUUUGAGGAGGAAUACAAUCCUAGAUCUGACUGCGAUACCAGGACUGUGGAAGAUGAUGUCCAGGAAAAUGAAGUUGAUUGGCAAGCUGGUAGGGAGGAUGGUAAAAUAAAUAGCCGUAAUAAAUGCACUUACUGUUCAAAGAUUUUCAUAUCGAAGUCAGCUCUAGCGGAGCACUGGCGAAAACACAUAGAAGAACUACCGAAGUGUAUCAUUUGCUCAAAGACUUUUCAAAACAGCAUAUAUCUUCAACGACACAUGAAAAGGCACAGGGACACUUUGCCUGGCAAGUGUCACCACUGCUCGAUAACCUUCUCAAGUAGAGCCGCGCUUCAUGGCCAUCUCCGCAUACAUAGAGAAAAACAACAGUGUAUCCAUUGCUUGCGCACCUUUCAAUUUGGAUCAUCGCUCCAAAAGCAUCUUGGAACUUACGCAGAAGAAAGAAAGUUAAAGUGUACCCAUUGCUCUCAAACUUUUCCUUGCAAUACACAUCUUCAGCAACACCUGAACGAAAUGCAGCCGCUUAGGUGUCCACACUGCCCAAAAAUCUUAAAAUGUAGACCAGCGCUCCAAAACCAUAUUAGAUUGCACGCAAAAGAACGAACAUAUAAGUGUACCCCCUGCGCAAUGAUUUUUUUGAACCUCGCAGACCUCAAUUCACACCUACAAACCCACUCUGAACUCGGAAGACCGUAUAAGUGUCCCAAGUGCCCAAGGAGGUUCACCACGAGUAAAGGUGUUCAUCUACACGAACGAUUACACACAGUACAACAAUGGCCAGUAGGUCGGAAAAACUAUGGCAAAUCGAUCGUACCAAUACUUUAAAGAUAUGAGCUCUUUAAGUUGAGUUAUUCUAAUUAUUUUCCCCAGAGCGUUUUUAACAAAACCAUGCAUUCCUAAACUGUUUAUUUCCACUAUUUUCCAACUUUUUCAAAACUUGGUGCAAAUUUAUAUUUACCUUUUAGUUCCAAUUUAGCGCUAUGCGGAUUGGGGGGCGUUAUAAUGGAUGGGGCACCUCGUUAAAAUAAAAUUUUUGCUUCAUAAGAAAAUCUUGCAUUUUUCAACUUUGCUGAUUAAUACAAAAUAUGUUUUUUACGUAAUAAAUAAACUAUAUAAA